AAUGUCUAUGAUCUUUCUCCGAAGGUUCUCUCUUGUUCUUUCCAUACAUAUAUGUAAUCGUAGAUGAUCACCAAUUGCUCCUCGAAUUGCCUCGUUUAAUGACCUGCUGUUUAGGGUGUUCUUUUCAUUGCUUUUAAUGUCUUUGCAUUUGAUUGAAUCCCAAGGAGGUCAUUAAUUGAAUCCUUAUUUUUCUUUCAUUGUUCUCGGUAGACGUAUGUAUUCAAGCUAAUGA
This 232-nucleotide unclassified non-coding RNA is filed under the name Hevea brasiliensis (rubber tree). The record is from RNAcentral. Lineage: Eukaryota; Viridiplantae; Streptophyta; Magnoliopsida; Malpighiales; Euphorbiaceae.